RNAcentral lists this ribosomal RNA (550 nucleotides) under uncultured bacterium. Its description in RNAcentral is "bacterial SSU rRNA". It matches the Rfam family "Bacterial small subunit ribosomal RNA", at positions 355 to 896 of the family's 1533-position model. The record is from RNAcentral.
UAGGGAAUCUUCGGCAAUGGACGGAAGUCUGACCGAGCAACGCCGCGUGAGUGAAGAAGGUUUUCGGAUCGUAAAGCUCUGUUGUAAGAGAAGAACGAGUGUGAGAGUGGAAAGUUCACACUGUGACGGUAUCUUACCAGAAAGGGACGGCUAACUACGUGCCAGCAGCCGCGGUAAUGCGUAGGUCCCGAGCGUUGUCCGGAUUUAUUGGGCGUAAAGCGAGCGCAGGCGGUUAGAUAAGUCUGAAGUUAAAGGCUGUGGCUUAACCAUAGUAGGCUUUGGAAACUGUUUAACUUGAGUGCAAGAGGGGAGAGUGGAAUUCCAUGUGUAGCGGUGAAAUGCGUAGAUAUAUGGAGGAACACCGGUGGCGAAAGCGGCUCUCUGGCUUGUAACUGACGCUGAGGCUCGAAAGCGUGGGGAGCAAACAGGAUUAGAUACCCUGGUAGUCCACGCUGUAAACGAUGAGUGCUAGGUGUUAGACCCUUUCCGGGGUUUAGUGCCGUAGCUAACGCAUUAAGCACUCCGCCUGGGGAGUACGACCGCAAGGUUG